CAACAGCUGAAAAAGGCUGCCCUGCUUGGGAGCUUCCUGAAAAAAUCAUUCUCACCAGAAUACACCACUGGAAGCAUAACAGCUCACAGUGGAUUACCUCAAAAUCCGGAAAUGAGAAGAGGAAAACGCGUCCAAGCUCGCUUUCCUUGCAACAGCCUCGCGCAACCUUAACUUACGGACGUAGCGCGCCUGCCAUGUUUAAACCCACUGUCUGGGCCCAGGCCUUCCGGAGCAUGCUCUGUGAGCCGGUGAAGCUAAAAAGAAUGAGGGCAGCUCGGCUGCUGGGUCGCGCGUGCUCAGUGGCGUUCUGAAGUCCCAACUGCUUCGGAGCAGAGCCGUUAAGUAACUGCGCGUGCAGGCAAGGACUGAGGUGAUUUCAGAACUGGUUUUGCGUUUCUUUUCGUUCGUUAAAACAUGCAAAAUGUAGUUAUCGACGUAUUCGAUAGUUAAAAAAAUAAAUUUUCAGAACUAACUUUGUUUAAAAGUUAGUGUGUGGAUGAAAGGGAGUAACAGAUUUGAAAUAGACUCUAUAAUAUUCCACGUAUAUGAAAUACUGGUUACUUAAUAACGGGUGAAUUACGUGUAAAUUCUCUUUUAAAUGUAGUUUCAUCUCUGGCAACCUGUGAUUUGUAGAUUAUGUGUUGGGUACAUUGUUGUGGCAAGUGCCCAAUUUGUGCAGCAUAGACCCACAUUCCUUCUGCGAUUGUAGGAGAAGUGUGUGGUAAGCUCCAAAUCAGGAGUUUGAUUAAAGGGCAAAGGCAUAAACUUUUAAAUUGUCUGCUUUCUAAUAAAAUGUGCUAGUCUGAAAAGUUACUACCAAACUUCUAAUAAUAAUCCUUCCAAGAAGAAUUAGGCAUUCAUCUGAUUCAUUCUUUCCUACAGCCAGCAAAACAGCAAAAUCCCAGAUCCUUCUCAGAAUGUAAAAAAGAGAAAAGAUUGAAUUGGCACAUUG
Thamnophis elegans (Western terrestrial garter snake) is the source of this 952-nucleotide long non-coding RNA. RefSeq lists it as uncharacterized. The transcript has 2 exons. NCBI's taxonomy places the organism in Eukaryota, Metazoa, Chordata, Lepidosauria, Squamata, Natricidae. The record is from RefSeq and is a predicted model, not a curated record.